Molecule: non-coding RNA, 4065 nt
Organism: Callithrix jacchus (white-tufted-ear marmoset)
Lineage: Eukaryota; Metazoa; Chordata; Mammalia; Primates; Cebidae
Source: RefSeq, a predicted model, not a curated record
CUGCCUGAGUCCAUUAGAGUAAUUACUACCAAUGGCAGCUAUAGCCUUACAAAAUGUAUUUCUUUAAUAAAGACCUCAAAGUCAAAGUAACUCCUUGAUCCAUGGGCCACAGAAUGGAUAUGUUGGCAGGCAUGAAAAUGAUAUUAAUUUCCUUGUGCAUCUCCAUUAGAGCUCUUGUGUGACUAGAUGCAUUGUUAAUGAGCAGUAAUAUUUUGAAGAGAACCUUCAAAAUAGUAGGUCUCAACAGUGGGCUUAAAAUAUUUAGCACAUCGUGCUGUAAACAGAUGUGCUGUCAUCAGUCUUUAUUGUUCCAUUAAUAGAAUACAGGCAGAGGCCACACGGUCUUUGAGCUGAACCCGAAGUGGUCGUUUUUAUCGCAGCUUCCCCAUUUCCACGGAUCCCUGCUUAAGCCUCCUGUGGAAGCCUGGGCCCGCUUCGUAGCUUUCUCCCUUUGUCUCAUAACCAUGUCCACCAACGAGAAUGCACAUACACCUGCUGUCCAUCUUAACAGAUUCAAAAACAAGGGAAAAGACAGUACAGAAAUGAGGCGUCGCAGAAUAGAAGUCAAUGUGGAGCUGAGGAAAGCUAAGAAGGAUGAUCAGAUGCUGAAGAGGAGAAAUGUAAGCUCAUUUCCUGAUGAUGCUACUUCUCCGCUGCAGGAAAACCGCAACAACCAGGGCACGGUAAAUUGGUCUGUUGAUGACAUUGUCAAAGGCAUAAAUAGCAACAACAUGGAAAAUCAGCUCCAAGCUACUCAAGCUGCCAGGAAACUACUUUCUAGAGAAAAACAGCCCCCCAUAGACAACAUAAUCCGGGCUGGUUUGAUUCCAAAAUUUGUGUUCUUCUUGGGCAGAACUGAUUGUAGUCCCAUUCAGUUUGAAUCUGCUUGGGCACUCACUAACAUUGCUUCUGGGACAUCAGAACAAACCAAGGCUGUGGUAGAUGGAGAUGCCAUCCCAGCAUUCAUUUCUCUGUUGGCAUCUCCCCAUGCUCACAUCAGUGAACAAGCUGUAUGGGCUCUAGGAAACAUUGCAGGUGAUGGCUCAGUGUUCCGAGACUUGGUUAUUAAGUACGGUGCAGUUGACCCACUCUUGGCUCUUCUUGCAGUUCCUGAUACGUCAUCUCUGGCAUGUGGUUACUUACGUAAUCUUACCUGGACACUUUCAAAUCUUUGCCGAAACAAGAAUCCUGCACCCCCGUUAGAUGCUGUUGAGCAGAUUCUUCCUACCUUAGUUCGGCUCCUGCAUCAUGAUGAUCCAGAAGUAUUAGCAGAUACUUGCUGGGCUAUUUCCUACCUUACUGAUGGUCCAAAUGAACCAUCACGACAUGGUCGUGAAAACAGGAGUUGUGCCCCAACUUGUGAAGCUUCUAGGAGCUUCUGAAUUGCCAAUUGUGACUCCUGCACUAAGAGCCAUAGGGAAUAUUGUGACUGGUACAGAUGAACAGACUCAGAUUGUGAUAGAUGCAGGAGCGCUUGCCAUUUUUCCCAGCUUGCUCACCAACCCCAAAACUAACAUUCAGAAGGAAGCUACAUGGACAAUGUCAAACAUCACGGCUGGCUGUCAGGACCAGAUACAGCAAGUUGUGAAUCACGGAUUAGUCCCAUUCCUUGUCAGUGUUCUUUCUAAGGCAGAUUUUAAGACACAAAAGGAAGCUGUAUGGGCUGUGACCAACUAUACCAGUGGUGGAACAGUUGAACAGAUUGUGUACCUUGUUCAUUGUGGCGUAACAGAACCAUUGAUGAACCUCUUAACUGCAAAAGAUAACAAGAUUAUUCUGGUUAUCCUGGAUGCCAUUUCAAAUAUCUUUCAGGCUGCUGAGAAAUUAGGUGAAACUGAGAAUCUUAGUAUAAUGAUUGAAGGAUGUGGAGGCCUAGACAAAAUUGAAGCUCUACAAAACCAUGAAAAUGAGUCUGUGUAUAAGGCUUCAUUAAACUUAAUUGAGAAGUAUUUCUCUGUAGAGGAAGAGGAAGAUCAAAAUGUUGUGCCAGAAACUACCUCUGAAGGCUAUACCUUCCAAGUUCAGGAUGGGACUCCUGGGACCUUUAACUUUUAGAUCAUGUAGCUGAGGUAUAAAUUUGUUGUGUACUAUGUUUGGUAUUUUGUCUUCCUGUUUCUCUACGAAGAACUCUUUCUAAAUGUGGUUUAUUAUUGUAGCACUUUUUACACUGAAACUAUACUUGAACAGUUCCAACUGUACAUACUGUAUGAAGCUUAUCCUCUGGCUACAUUUCUUAUUUCUAUGUGGAAUUUCAUAUCUUGCAGCCUCCUGUAAAUAAACAUUAAAACCCACCCAAAAAAAAAAAAAAAAAAAAGAAUACAGGCAGAGUAGAUUUAGCAUAAUUCUAAGGGCCCUAGGAUUUUUGGAAUGGUAAAUAAACAUUAGUUUCAACUUAAAGUUACUGGCUACAUUAACCCCUAAUGAGAGUCAGCCUUGGAAAUUUUGAAACUAGGCCCUGACUUCUCUCUAGCUAUGUAAAUUCUAGAUGGUGUCUUCCAAUAUAAGGCUGUUUUAUCUACAAUGAAAAUCUCAUUUAGUAUAGCCAUCUUCAUCAGUGAUCUUAGCCAUAGCUGCAUAGUUUGCCACAUAAUCUAUAUUAGCAUUUGCUGCUUCACCUUUAUUUUAAAAGGAUGGCUUCUUUCCUUAAACCUCAUGAACCAACUUUUACUACCUUCAAACUUUUCUUCUGCAGCUACCUCACCUCUCUCAACCUUCCUAGAAUUGGAGAGUUAGGGCCUUGCUAUGGAUUAGACUUUAGCUUAAGGGAAUAUUGUGGCUGGUUUGAUGUUUUAUCCAGACCGUUAAAACUUUAUUCGUUUUCAGCAAUAAGUCUGUUAUACUUUUUUACUAUUUGUGUGUUCACAGGAGUAGCAUUUCUAGCUUUAAAAAAAUUUAUUAUUUUUUCCCUUUCAGCAGACUGGAAGAUUUCUAGCUUUUGAUUUAAAGUGAGCAAUGUGGCCAGGCAUGGUGCUUUCUGUCUGUAAUCCCAGCACUUUGGGAGGCUGAGGUGGGAGCACUGCUUGAGCUCAGGAGUUUGAGACUAGCCUGGGCAACAUGGCACAACCCAUUUCUACUAAAACUUAACCAGGCAUGGUGGUGUGCACCUGUAGCCACAGCAACUUGGGAGGCUGAUGUUGGGGGGAUCGCUUGAGCCUGUGGGGGUUGAGGCUGCAGUCAGCCAUGAUUGCACCACUGCACUCCAGCCUAGGUGACAGAGAAAGACCCCAUCUCAAAAAAUAAUAAAUAGAUGUAUGACUCUUAUUUUCAUGUGAACAUUUAGAGGCCAUUGUAGGAUUAUUAAUUGGUCUCAUUUCAGUAGUGUUAUGUCUUAGGGAAUGAGGAGGCCUGAGGAGAGGGAUAGAGACAGAAGAACUGCUGGUCAGUGGGGCAGUGAGAACAUACACAACAUUUAUCAAUUGAGUUCACCUGUUACAUAGGCAUGGUUUGUGGCACCCCAAAACAAUAACAUCAAAGAUGACUGAUCACAGAUCACCAUAACAGAUACAAUAAUAAUGAAAAUUUGAAAUGUUGCAGGAAUUACCAAAAUGUGAUGCAGAGAUAUGAAGUGAGCACUUGAGCCUGGAAAAAUGGUGUCAUAUACUUGCAGGGUCUAUCGGCAGGGUUGCUACAAACCUUCAGUGUGUAAAAGAUGCAAUGUCUGUGAAACACAACAAAGAGAUGGGCAAUAAAACGAGGUACAGCUAAUCAGAUAAUUCUCCAUGGACCACUUGUGUUUCUGUGUAUCUUAUAAGCAGAUGUACUGACUGCAUUAUUUUUCAAGGAUGUUUAUAUGAUAGAAAAGAUAGAGAUAGUGUCUCCCUCCAAAAUGAAGGGCAAGUUUAUUUAGAGCCUUGGAAGAUAGAGAGUGUCUCUUUCUGGACCAAAGGACAUUAUAAAAACUUUAGAUUCCCUAUGCUCAGCGUUCCUUUCCUGUAAUGCAACUAUCUGCAUGUAUGGAUAUCACCUGGUCUUUGCAUUGCCCUGUGGGAACUGGGGCUUGGGAAACAGAACAAGAAAAUGUUGGUAUUUUGACUAUUGCUGUGAGCAAUAAAGUUCUUUGUCUCU